GAAUGUUACUUGUGUACUGAAAAUGGAAAGAAAAUACUACAGGAUAAAUAUAGAUUUGUAUGUCUUCUGCUAGUAUUAUGGUACUUUGGAAAAUGUUGGAAGGAUGAAGCCUGAGAAUGAGCCUGAAGAUGAAGAAAGCUUAUGGGAAUAUGUCAACAAAUCUUCCUCUGUUUCCUGGAGAACGCUUUCUGCUUUUGUUUAAGGACCCAAAGUGACAAGGUUUAAGCAGGUCAACAUCCUUGCUUUUUGUGCGCAGUCUUAUCCUGCCAGCACUUGAUGUGUUUAUAUGCAUGUUCUUCUUGGAAGGCCGGGGACACUUUGUUCUGACUGAGAAGUGAUGUGGAGGGAUGCCAUGCUCAAAGCCUGUUUUCAUAUCUCCUAUCAACAUAGAAAUGGUGUGACUGCUGGAAUCUUCUGACACCAACAUACAGUUCAGAGCAGUGGCUCACAUGACCACCGUACAAAAGGGAAUCCAAC
Molecule: non-coding RNA, 477 nt
Organism: Zonotrichia albicollis (white-throated sparrow)
Lineage: Eukaryota; Metazoa; Chordata; Aves; Passeriformes; Passerellidae
Source: RefSeq, a predicted model, not a curated record